AACAAGUUUUGUUUCCUGAUAACGGGUGAACUUGGACACUGUUACUGUCUGUGUUACAUGCUAUCGUGUGUGUUACAUUGUUUGGGUAUUUAAAGCGCCUGAGCCAGAAAUACACACAAGCACGUCGAACAUGUUCCAGUAAUGUGUGUGUGUCCAUUAUAUUGUAGUAUACCGUGAGCUUGGAAGUUGUGUUACAACCUAAUGGUGACGUACAACAUUACUUUAGGAUAUGAAGACGAAGCCAUUGUUCUGUGAGACUGUUUGGACGUUUGGCAGGUUGACAUGUCAGCUGAAAAUCCACCUUGAUGCAAUUAGAAAUGAUUUGAAGUUUAAGAGGAAAACAUGUAAGACCCCAUAAAUAACGCCUCGAUAAACAAACACUUUGUGCUUGGAUCAAACGUGAUUUCGGAUCAUUUCCUGAAUCCAGUUUCACUGCUCCGUCGUGUCUGAGGAAGGACAUAGUGGAAAUAACAGAAUGCUGCAAUUAACACCAACUUUCGACAUGGAGAGAGAUGUUUGGGGACCUUUAGCCAAAGGAGACACAAUGAGAAGCCGAGACAAUGUGCUGUUUGCUGACACUCAAAUCCUCAAUGUUGAGAGGGAUGAUGGUGUUCUGUAUUGCUGGAGAGGUGCCACAGGAAACACCAGAAUUGGCAAAUAUGACCCUCAUACAAAACAGAAUAAGCUACUGUACACUUUUGACAAGCAAGUGUUUAUUAGCAGCUGCUCUCUGAAUAGAGAAGAAACACUGCUGGCGGUCAGUCUGACACGGUCAGUGAAGGGAGGAGAAUAUCAUUUUAAACCAGUUGCAAAAUAUCUGACUCUACUUAUAGAAAUACACCCAGUUAACAACACUAAGGUCAUAAAAGCUGUGGAUUGCAAGGUCAAAGUUCAGUUCCUGUAUCCUCACUUGACCCGGAACAGUGUGCUGGAAAGUCAUCUGCUGGUGGCAGCAGAAGACGGCUAUAUUGACCAGUACCACAUUUUACUGAGGAGUCAGGAAGGCUGUAAAGUUGUGAUCCAGAACACGGAGCAUCUGGUGAAAGACAGAGUGACAGAUGAGUUCUGCUGGGUUCAGUGGGACUCGGACAACCAAAGACUCUUCUUCCUCACAAGCAGGGAGAAAUACACGCUCAAGUGUGUGCAGUUUUUCCCUGAUCACAAUUUUGACACCUUGUUUGAACUCCCCUUAGUGUUACCAAGCAAUCCUUUCACCUCUGUGAGGUUUAUUAAUUUUGGACAUGAUCACUACCAAGAGCGGGAAAAUGAGGGAAUGAAACUGGUGGUAUUUACAGGCAGGACAGGGAUCAUGUGUGUGUGCUACAGUCAUCCCCUGCAUGGUGCUGAGGAUUACACAUACACAAUUGCAUUUGUGCACAGAGGUUUUAGUAAGACUUUCACUGUAGCACUUGAGCAAACCGUCCCAACAGACAUCAAGCCAAACCUCCAGCCAUUCUUCAUCUUUUUGGGACAUUAUGUUGUAGUUUAUCUUGCUGGUCACUUCCUCCAUCUGAUCAACUGCAUUCAGCAGGACUUGCUCUGUCACAGCCUCUUUCUGUCAGGUGCUGAUACCCAUGUGGAUGAAUUGGGAGUGAACAAUGUUUUAAUGAACAUUUCUGCUCACAAGCUGCUGGAUGAGUGGAUGGGCAGGAUAUAUACCAUAAACCUCAACCUGGAUUUCCUGCUUCAGCUGCUGCUUAGCACUGAUCGGCCUGAGGCACAACGUCUUGCUGCCCUUCACUGUGUAAUGGUCCACCUUGGAUCUGACCAGGACUUGGAGAACAAGAUCAUCUACUGGAUUAGCGAGAACAUGAUGAGCUUUAAUGCUUACGAUCAGAUUCAGGAGUUUAUUCUGGGUUCUUUAUACAGGACGUGCUGUCAGCAGUCUCUCAGUCUGAAUAAAGUGCUUCCGUACUCAUCUGUGUUUGAGAAGAAGGAACUUCCUGUUGCCCUGACUGCUAUCCCUGGUGUGAAGUGCACACCUGAGCUGCUCACUCAACCAGUAUUUAAAGGGAAGGCCCGGAGCCUGCAGGGAUACUGGAAUGAGCUACAGUGGAUUAUUGAAAGGACAAAAUAUUUUGAGACUGUGCCUAACCCUCGAUACCGAUUCUCCCAGCUCAAGGGUGACUGGGCCAAACUACAAGCAGCACUGAACUCAGAGAAAACAAAAUCCUUUAACUAUCUGCAACGACUUGAGGAAAACACUAAAAAAGUCCUAUCUGUGGUGGAUAUGUGGCAUUUGGAUAAGAGAGUGCUUCCCCUCUUUCAGGAGGUUGACCAGCCGCAGAGGGCACUAAUAGGCCUAAUGGUGGAUAAACUCCGGGAUCACCUGAACAAGUUCCUGCCACAGCUGGGGAAGAAAAAGAUUGAAAUGCUGGUGGUGAACUACAUGGCCAAGAUGGUGUGUGUGUGUGUGUGUGUGUGUGUGUGCGCACGCUCAUGUCUCACUGCUGGAGCUGCUCAGACACAUGUUGGAGACUCUGUGGCUGAAGCUGAACUUGGGUCGCACGGUGUUAUGCCUCAACCAGCGAGGCACCUCGGAGGAGUGGACCAUGUUUCAUAUCAUGUGUCGGAUUCUGGAAGCAGCUAAAGGACUCUGUCUUCCCCUCCCACCUGGUUAUUCUACACUUUUAAGUGUGCUGGGUGUACGCUGCCUACCUCGCCACACUUUCUUGCUCUAUGUGGACCGUGGCUUUCUACACCUCACUGAGCCUUUUGUGUCACGCCUUAUGACAGAUCUGGAUAACAGCACCAGCAAUGAAGAACUAAAGUUCAGUGUCCUGAAAAGACUUCCUGCGUGUCUGGCCCAGAGAGUGUGUCAGCUUUGGGAUCAUCCUAUCAGCUCAGCCUGCAUCACCAGACAGUGCGUGAGAAGACUGUUGGAGAAAUACACCAAAACCAAAGCAUCAGUGCAGUUGGACAGAGACAAAAUAUCCUCCCAUCUUGAGUUUCUGCCACUAAGCUACCUCAUCGCAAUUCUCUCAGAAAUGGAAGAGCAAGCUACACAUCCCUUUGAGGAACAGAAGAAUAUGGAUGCCAGAUUUGUGGAGGAAAUUGCACUAAAACAGACUCUGAUCAAGCUGGGAUUUGAGGGCAAAUUAACACCAGGAGAAGAAUAGCUGAAGAGGGAACUGGAGCUGACUGAGAGACUGGAAACUAGUGACUGGUGUUUUGCUUCGUUGUGUACACAGUGAUAACGUGAUGUUUAACAAUUACCUACAUUUUAACAUCACAUUUAUCUGCAAAACAGGAAUCUGGCACACACACAUGUAUUCUGCCUGCUGAUUUCGAAAUAAAAAAAGUGAAACAGCUGCUUGAUUAUUCUAUAGAGAAAUAAGAUUCAGUAAUGUACAUGAACUAAGUUGAAAGAGAUUUCUGUAUCAGGUGUCAGAUGUUUAUAUUGCUGUAUAUAACAGUUUAUUUUAAUUAAAUGUGUAUCUUGUUUC
Molecule: RNA transcript, 3446 nt
Organism: Tachysurus fulvidraco (yellow catfish)
Lineage: Eukaryota; Metazoa; Chordata; Actinopteri; Siluriformes; Bagridae
Gene name: gamma-secretase activating protein
Exons: 31
Source: RefSeq, a predicted model, not a curated record